Brachypodium distachyon (stiff brome) is the source of this 1292-nucleotide long non-coding RNA. RefSeq lists it as uncharacterized. The transcript is spliced from 4 exons. The record is from RefSeq and is a predicted model, not a curated record. NCBI's taxonomy places the organism in Eukaryota, Viridiplantae, Streptophyta, Magnoliopsida, Poales, Poaceae.
UGCCUCGCUCGCUAGAUCCGAACACGUCCGUUGAGCUCUCUCCUUCGUUGCCGCCACAAACCUCGCCUCCCUCCGCCAUAGGCUCCUGGCCCCUAGACCUUGCCGUAGAUUAGGCCUGGGCUUGCCCUUCUCUUUCCCGUCCGCGGAGGACGCCUAGGCCUGGGGCAGCACUUCUCCCUCCUAGCCGCUGCUGCCUCCUCCCCACUUCUGGUCAUCGCCUGCUGCUCACGCCCUCCUCAGCGGUCAGCGGAUCUGGGGCCGACGGCCAUCGCCUCCCCCGCCUCAUCUCCCUCUCUCUUUCCUCGCCACCGGCUGCCCGCCCGCCACCACCGGCCACCCGCUGGUCGACCUGCGCCCCCUUUGGCGCGAUGGUGCUGCAGCCCUUCACCCCCACCCCCUGCGCCCAAGAGGGCAGAGCUCCGUGGCCCGACCAGCCGACCACCUCCCAACGCCUCCUGAUCCCUUCCUCGCACGCCUCGCGUUGCCGCCGUCACCCCGUCCCGCCUCCGUCGUCGUCGCGCCCUGCACGACCGCCACCGUCCCCCGUCGUUGUCGCAGUCCCUGCCUGGGCCCACGCGGCAUGCCGCGUCCCUGCGACCUCCGUCCCUCGCCGUCCUAGCCCCGACCCUCCCAUCCCCAAGGGGUUCACGGUGCUCUAGGCCUGCUAGGUCGUCGGCUGCAGUAUUCUUGUGAUGUGUAGGAAAUUAAGGGAAGAGAUUCUGAGGCCCAUGAGAAGGCCGCCAUGGACUUCACUGACCUACCUCGUUAGGGUAAAUCGGAAGGAGUAGCAGCACAUGGCAAGCAACAGGGGUCCAACUUUUGAUGUCAAUGUAAUAGGCAAAUGAAAAUCGCCUCCUAAUGUGAAAGAGCAGAGUAAAGCAGAAGGAGUAUCAGUACAAAGCAAGCUACGGAGGUCCAAUAUUUGAUGUCAAGAGCGGACUGACAACACUGCCAAUCGAAGAGGGGGAGAAAGAGGGAUGUCGUGAGUCUUUUAGUCGUCGUAACAUAGCUUCUUUGUGCGUGGUAUUUCUGGGAUCAUUUUGACUUCAAAAGCUGCAACCGACGAAACAAAUUUGUACCACUUGUAGGUGUGGGAAGAUAAAGUAGAUUUUUCAUAAUUAGUUGGUUCUUCUAUCCAAGCCAAUCAUAAUGUGCAUUUAAUCAUUUAUUUGCUAUUAGAAACUUUUGUAUUUUUUCCUCAAAAGCAUUUUGUAUUUAUAUAUAUGAUCGGAGAAUAUUGCCGAUGAAUUAUUGGAAGUCUGAUCACAUUUUCAGUUCCGUUGUUGAUUUGA